Molecule: ribosomal RNA, 209 nt
Filed under: Merdimmobilis hominis
Lineage: Bacteria; Bacillati; Bacillota; Clostridia; Eubacteriales; Oscillospiraceae
Description: Bacterial large subunit ribosomal RNA
Rfam family: Bacterial large subunit ribosomal RNA
Source: Rfam by way of RNAcentral
CUGAAACCCUGUGCCUACAAGCACAUAGAGCACGUCAAGGUGUGAUAUGGUACCUAUUGUAGAAUGGUCCGGCGAGUUAUGUUAUGGAGCGAGGUUAAGUACUUCAGGUGCGGAGCCGCAGCGAGAGCGAGUCUGAACAGGGCGAAAUUAGUUGCAUGACAUAGACCCGAAACCGGGUGACCUAUCCAUGUCCAGGCUGAAGUGGAAGU